UAAGCCUCCAUGUCUCACUCAGGAGCUCUGGCUUCAACGCUCUAGUGGAAAGAGGCGUGCUGGGCCGAGGAAGGCCCAGCCUUGUGCCGGGGCAUGAGUGCAGGAGGCUGUGCAUCCUCUCACAAUGCUUCCAGGUGGGCCCUAUGAUGAUCACCAUUUUACAAAUGAUGAAACAGAGGCCAAGCAUAGAGGCCAAGCACUUUAUCAGAGGACGGUGGUGGAGCUGGGCUGUGAUUACAGGCAGUCUGGUCUGGCGAGGUCCUCCCAGCUGUAUGGGACGCUGCCUCUUGGAACCAGGCCCAUGACUUCCUUGCCUGUUCGGUGCCAUCUCCCCAGCUCUUUGUCAUUUCUUCCCCUGUGCCUAGGUCAGAACAUCAUUGCCAGGUCAGAAAAGAAACUCUUGAUUUCUGUGAGGGAGCAUGUGAAGGAGCUUCCCAGCCCACGGCUUUCAGUGGUGAAGGCUCCCAUCCUGUAGGUUGCCUUUUAAUUUUGUUGACUGUUUCCUUUGCUGUGCAGAGCUUUUUAUCUCGAUGACCUCCCAAUAGCUGAUUAUUGCUUUUGUUUCCCUUGCUUUUAUAGAUGUGUCUACCAAGAAGUUGCUGCGGCCAAGUUCAAAGAGGUUGCUGCCUGUGUCCUCCUCUAGGAUUUUGAUGGACUCCUGGCCACGUGUAGAUCUCUCAUCCAUUCUGAGUUUAUCUUUGUGUAUGGUGUAAGGUUCCUCAAGAAGUUAAAAAUAGGGCUACCCUACAACUCAGCAAUUGCGCCACUGGGUAUUUACCCCAAAGAUACUGAUGUAGUGAAAUGACAGUACACCUGCAUCCCAAUGUUUAUAGCAGCAAUGUCCACAACAGCCAAACUGUGGAAGGAGCCCAAAUGUCCUUUGACAGAUGAAUGGGUAAAGAAGAUGUGGUAUAUACACACCAUGGAAUAUUACUCAGCCAUCAGAAAGGACGAAUAUCUACCAUUUGCUUUGAUGUGGAUGGAACUGGAGGGUAUUAUGUUGAGUGAAAUAAUUCAGUCAGAGACAGACAAUUAUUGUAUGGUUUCACUCAUAGUUGGAAUAUAAGAAAUAGUGCAAGGGACCAUAAAGGAAGGGGGGAACCGAGAGGGGAAAAAUUAGGGAGGAAGACAAACCAUGAGAGACUCUUCACUUUGGGAAACGAACAAAGGUUUGCAGAAGGGGAGGAGGGUGAAGGAUAGGGUAACUGGGUGAUGGGCAUUAAGGAGGACACUUGAUGGGAUGAGCGCUGGGAGUUAUACUAUAUGUUGGCAAAUUGAAUUUAAAUAAAAGAAUAAUAAUAAUAAAUGGUGAAGGCUCC
This 1319-nucleotide long non-coding RNA is filed under the name Vulpes vulpes (red fox). RNAcentral describes it as "lncRNA (ENSVVUG00000010604.1)". The record is from RNAcentral. Lineage: Eukaryota; Metazoa; Chordata; Mammalia; Carnivora; Canidae.